Molecule: small RNA, 1605 nt
Filed under: Pongo abelii (Sumatran orangutan)
Lineage: Eukaryota; Metazoa; Chordata; Mammalia; Primates; Hominidae
Description: retained intron
Source: RNAcentral
GAGCAGAUGGGAGGUGCGGCGACAGUGUUUGACGAGAGCCGAAGGAGGCAGUGGGAGGUGUUGGCGGCGGCGGCGCGGGCGCCUGAGGAGGAGGAGGAGGAGAAGCGGAUGAGAUUUUGGGGCUCACCAGCGUCCCCCAUGGCUUCUGAGUAGCGCGGGAGUGGAGUCAGCACCAAGCCAGGCUCCCCGCGCCUGCCUUGCCUUCACCUGCUCCUGCUCUCUGCCAGAGGCAGCAUGGUCCGCAGGGCACCAUGGGGCCCGACAGAGUGACAGCACGAGAACUGUGCGAGAACGACGACCUGGCCACCAGCCUCGUCCUGGACCCCUACCUCGGUUUCCGCACCCAUAAGAUGAACGUCAGCCCUGUGCCCCCCCUGCGGCGACAGCAGCACCUGCGCUCAGCGCUGGAAACUUUCCUGAGGCAGCGGGACCUGGAGGCUGCGUACCGGGCCCUGACGCUGGGAGGCUGGACGGCCCGCUACUUCCAGAGCCGGGGCCCGCGGCAGGAGGCUGCCCUCAAGACCCACGUCUAUCGCUACCUCCGUGCCUUCCUGCCGGAAAGUGGCUUUACCAUCCUGCCCUGCACACGCUACUCCAUGGAGACCAACGGGGCCAAGAUCGUGUCCACUCGCGCUUGGUAAGAGGGCAGGACUCCCUCCGGGUAUCCUUGGAGGAGACAGAGCUCAGAGGGUACAAGAGAGACCCUCUGUUCAUGGACUGGCCAACCGGGGAAAAGAGAGGUGCCUGGUCCUCUGGGCAUCCUAGGAAGGUGGUGGGGCUAAUCCCGGAAGACCUUUGUGGCUACUGUGGUGCUACUGGAGCAGGAGACACCAGAUGUGACCCCAGGGUUCCUGGGGCUUCGAGGAAAGAACUAGGCUUCUGCUCAGGGCUGCACUGUCCUUACCUCCUCGUGACCUGAGCCCCCACCACGUGUUAAACACCCCUGAGUGCAGUGAGGAGCCCCUGCCCCUGCCCCUGCAGGGUUCACAGUCUGGUGGGGAGGCGGGUGGCAGACAAGUCAACAUACAGUCAUUGGUCCCAGCUGGUACACGCUGCAGGGGAGCUGUGAGGAAUGAGCAAGUGCUCCCAGGGCGAGGCUCACACUGAGAGGGGAAGCACCAGCCUGAGGGUCUGGUGGGGCGAGUAGGGGGUAGUCCAGGCAGGAGGGAAUUGGGGGCAGGAGGUGCUAUGAGAGCGAGGGGAGAGAAGGGGGGCUAUAUCUGCUGUGUGCGUGCUGUCCUGAAGGCUUUCAGCAGAAGGGUCCUGUGAGGCUGUGGGCUGGAGCAGGGAAGCCCACCCAGGCGGGAGGGGAAGAGGGAGAUCUGGAAGACUGGAUCGCCAGUAGCCAGCACCAGCGCACAGGAGUCCCUGCUUCCUGGGUGCCUCUGUGCCGGAGGCCCGAGUACCCCGAGCACCUGCAGGAGGCCAGGCAUCGCCCACAGCCCCGCCCCCUGGCCUCUUGGCAGGAAAAAGAAUGAGAAGCUGGAGCUGCUGGUGGGCUGCAUUGCAGAGCUGCGGGAGGCGGAUGAGGGGCUGCUGAGGGCCGGUGAGAACGACUUCAGCAUCAUGUACUCAACACGCAAGCGGAGUGCUCAGCUGUGGCUG